Molecule: ribosomal RNA, 461 nt
Filed under: uncultured bacterium
Lineage: Bacteria
Description: partial 16S ribosomal RNA
Rfam family: Bacterial small subunit ribosomal RNA
Source: RNAcentral
CCUACGGGAGGCAGCAGUGAGGAAUAUUGGACAAUGGACGCAAGUCUGAACCAGCCAAGUAGCGUGCAGGAUGACGGCCCUCCGGGUUGUAAACUGCUUUUAGUUGGGGAUAAAAGGGGUCUCGUGAGCCUCGUAUUGUAUGUACCAUCAGAAAACGGAGCGGCUAAUUCCGUGCCAGCAGCCGCGGUAAUACGGAGGAUGCGAGUGUUUUCCGGAGUCAUUGGGGUUAAAGGGUGGGCAGGCGGGCCUUUAAGCCGGAGGGGAAAUCGCGGGGUCCAAGCCCGCCGAGCCGUCGGUACUGGGGGGCUUGAGUGCGGCAGAGGCGUGCGGAAUGCGCGGUGUAGCGGUGAAAUGCAUAGAUAUCGCGCAGAACCCCGAUGGCGAAAGCAGCGUGCCGUGCCGCCACUGACGCUGAGGCACGAAAGCGCGGGGAUCGAACAGGAUUAGAUACCCCUGUAGUC